Molecule: small nuclear RNA, 87 nt
Gene: U4
Rfam family: U4 spliceosomal RNA
About the family: U4 small nuclear RNA (U4 snRNA) is a component of the major U2-dependent spliceosome. The structure of U4 snRNA from yeast and human has been reported.
Source: Ensembl
AGCUUUGCGCAGUGGCAGUAUCGUAGCCAAUGAAGUUUAUCCGAGGCGCGAUUAUUGCUAAUUGAAAGGCAAAUAAAUAAAAUAGCC